AUGGAGCAUGGAACUGGAUCAGACCUGGACCUUAAAGCAAGCACAAGUCCUGUACAAGUCAAGUCCAGCAUAUCUAGGCCAAAGCCUAUAAACCUGCAGCCACAUCAAAUCUGCAUUCCAUGCACCUGUAAUGUCGUACAAGAAGCCAGACAAGAAGGUUUAGCAGGAGAAGAUUUAAAUCUCAAAUGUGACCAUGCCGCUAUAACUACUGGUGACUACAUUCGCUGGUACAGGAUGCUUCCUGGUCAAGGACCAGUACAUGUAAUUGGUAGCUUCCAGGACACUGACCUGCUAAACAAUAAGCAUAAAUUAACUUUUAAUGAAGGAAGAAAAUCUAGUGUUCUCCUUAUACGUGAUAUCAAGCCUGAAGACAGUGCUGUGUAUCUCUGUGCUCAGAGUGACACAUAG
Non-coding RNA from Hyla sarda, 408 nucleotides. The record is from the annotation of a RefSeq genome assembly. NCBI's taxonomy places the organism in Eukaryota, Metazoa, Chordata, Amphibia, Anura, Hylidae.